UCCCGGUUAGCUCAGCCGGCAGAGCGCUUGGCUGUUAACCAAGAUGUCGCUGGUUCGAUCCCAGCACCGGGAG
Molecule: non-coding RNA, 73 nt
Organism: Zophobas morio
Lineage: Eukaryota; Metazoa; Arthropoda; Insecta; Coleoptera; Tenebrionidae
Source: the annotation of a RefSeq genome assembly